This 405-nucleotide ribosomal RNA is filed under the name uncultured Comamonadaceae bacterium. RNAcentral's name for it is "bacterial SSU rRNA". It matches the Rfam family "Bacterial small subunit ribosomal RNA", at positions 1 to 419 of the family's 1533-position model. The record is from RNAcentral. Lineage: Bacteria; Pseudomonadati; Pseudomonadota; Betaproteobacteria; Burkholderiales; Comamonadaceae.
CUCGGAGUUUGAUCCUGGCUCAGAUUGAACGCUGGCGGAAUGUUUUACACAUGCAAGUCGAACGGUAGAGGGGGCAACCCCUUGAGAGUGGCGAACGGGUGAGUAAUAUAUCGGAACGUGCCCAGUCGUGGGGGAUAACGUAGCGAAAGUUACGCUAAUACCGCAUACGAUCUAAGGAUGAAAGCGGGGAUCGCAAGACCUCGCGCGACUGGAGCGGCCGAUAUCAGAUUAGGUAGUUGGUAGGGUAAAGGCCUACCAAGCCAACGAUCUGUAGCUGGUCUGAGAGGACGACCAGCCACACUGGAACUGAGACACGGUCCAGACUCCUACGGGAGCAGCAGUGGGGAAUUUGGACAAUGGGCGAAAGCCUGAUCCAGCCAUUCCGCGUGCAGGAUGAAGGCCCUC